AAAAAGACAAACCCUGGUUUCCGUGUCCAACGUUUGACUGUCCGUCUUAUAUAAAAUUUUUUUAUAAUUAGUAUUUUCAUUGUUGUUAGAUGAUAAAACAUGAUUAAUACUUUAUGUGUGACUUAUCUUUUUAAUUUUUUUAUAAUUUUUUUAAAUAAGACGAACAGUCAAACGUUGAACACGAAAACUCAGAUUUGUCUCAAUG
Molecule: microRNA precursor, 205 nt
Filed under: Oryza sativa Indica Group (long-grained rice)
Lineage: Eukaryota; Viridiplantae; Streptophyta; Magnoliopsida; Poales; Poaceae
Description: MIR812 microRNA precursor family
Rfam family: MIR812 microRNA precursor family
Source: Rfam by way of RNAcentral